Hyaena hyaena (striped hyena) is the source of this 148-nucleotide long non-coding RNA. RefSeq lists it as uncharacterized. The record is from RefSeq and is a predicted model, not a curated record. The transcript has 3 exons. NCBI's taxonomy places the organism in Eukaryota, Metazoa, Chordata, Mammalia, Carnivora, Hyaenidae.
GCAGCCCGUCAGCCUCAGCAGGACCCUGAAAAUUGGGGACAGAAAUCCAGUAUGGAAAAUUCUGACAGCUGUCAGGAAGGAGGUUAUUGAAUUCAUUGGAGAAUGAGUGCUGUCCUAAAUUUGGUGAGAGAGAGAGAGAGACAGCGUG